ACGCUGACGUGAGGGCUGGAGGAGCCAUUUGAGGACAGUUUAACUCCACUCUCCAUGAUAGCCACUGUGAUUUGCCUGUGCUGAAUUACUGUGUUUGAUUACUAUACUCUGGGUUGAUAUAAACCUUUUACAACGCUUCACUUAUUUUCCUCCUAAUAACCACGGCAAAACGCCACGACCUGAGACACUUCGGCACCGACCCAAGAGGCGAGCAGGCAAGUUUCUUCUGGCCUCCAAGCAGCACUUCGCCGCCCGCCCAGCCUGCCGAGCCUCACAAUGAUUUCCCUGAGCACCGUUUGCAGCAAUCACGCAACAUAAGUCCAAUUCAUAUGAAGCGAGAUGAAUUUACUCCAGAUAAUUAAUGCAAGAAACGAGAGAGGAACUUGGCCCCAGGGAACCCCCGUGGACCAUCUAAGAGUCAUUGUGUGCAACCAUUAAAGUGAAUUAUGGCCCGUGUUGGGUGGCACUUUACUCCCCAAUGCAUCAUACCCGGGAAAGAGGAAGAGGAGGAGGGGAAGGAGGAGGAGAAGUUAAGGGUUCCAGCUCAUCAAGAUAUAAUACUGCUUUCCGUGGACUAAGAAAAUACAUCAUCCUCACGAACUCCGCCCUCUGGUUAAUACUAUGUGCAUUGGAGUUUUGACAUCGCCCUGUGUCUGUGAGGCAAGGCGGGGCUGUGAAGUGCGCAUAUCUAACCCAAUGUAUGGUAAGGUACACUACAUUCAGGCUCAUCUCGGUAAAUAGCAUGUGUAUUCAGUAGUUAUUUAUUCAUCAGUCUAUACUACUCUCUCUCUCUCUCUCUCUCUCUCUCUCUCUCUCUCUCUCUCUCUCUCUCUCUCUCUCUCAUUAUGCUAUCUAGUAU
Long non-coding RNA from Scylla paramamosain (green mud crab), 859 nucleotides. RefSeq lists it as uncharacterized. The transcript has 3 exons. NCBI's taxonomy places the organism in Eukaryota, Metazoa, Arthropoda, Malacostraca, Decapoda, Portunidae. The record is from RefSeq and is a predicted model, not a curated record.